Molecule: long non-coding RNA, 407 nt
Filed under: Homo sapiens (human)
Lineage: Eukaryota; Metazoa; Chordata; Mammalia; Primates; Hominidae
Description: EAF1 antisense RNA 1
Source: RNAcentral
GUUACUUAGCAACAGAUAACUGGAAUAGUGCUCUUGAAACAGGGUCUCGCCAUGUUGCCCAGGCUGGUCUCAAACUCCUGGACUCAAGCAAUCCUCCCACCUCAGCCUCCCAAAGUGCUGGGAUUACAGGCAUGAGUCACCACAGCCAGCCCAGUACCUGCUUUUAAGGAGCUCAUACCGACCAGAGUUCAAGCAAAAAAAAAAAAAAAAAAAAAAGCUCUUCUACAGGUCUACUUAAACUUUGAAAGAUGAGAUUGUUCAAAAAUGACACGAGAAAAUCACCCAUCACCACUAAGUUAAAGACUUGAAUAUGUGAGAGUUCCAGAGCCUCAAACUCCUACUACAGUCACUGAUCCAUAACAUUUUCCUCUUGCAAUGGACUCCACGCCAAAGUAGCUCAGUCUUGC